This 679-nucleotide long non-coding RNA is filed under the name Marmota monax (woodchuck). The record is from RNAcentral. Lineage: Eukaryota; Metazoa; Chordata; Mammalia; Rodentia; Sciuridae.
GUUUCUCAAUACUGAGUUUGAAUCAGUAUGUUCCUCUUUUGCCUCAGGGUAAAAGUCAAAUGUACAUCAAGCUUCAAGCCCUGUAGCAUGAGUUUGAGAAGUGACAUGAAUUGAUUACAAUUAUUUCAUUCCAUUCCAUUCCAUUCUGCAGUUAUUUUGGUAGAAAAUGUACUACAUGCUCUAGGGGAUAAACAAAAACAAUACAUCCUGAUGCCAGUUCCCAUAAGGGGGCCUAUUAUUCUUGUCUGCAUUUUAUUCACCCUAUUCUAAUAAGUUGAUUUACCAAAAGAAGUAUUCCCUUAAACCCUCAUCUACAGUUCACCUGGUCUAUGUUAAGUGUCAGAAUUAUGUCAACCAAGUUAAGAUCCAGAUAGUAAUCUAUGUGCUGUGGGAAUGGGAGAUGGAAAGAAACCCUAAUGUAGAACUGCUCACUACUGAACUUGAACCUAAAGGUUAACAGGGCUUCCAACAGGAGACACAAACCAUGCUUAUCAAUAAGAGGAAGAGAAUAAAGAACAAAUCUUGUUUGCAUACUCCUGCCUGUACCCUUCCUCCCUGUCCAUUAGGUAUAUUAGAUCUGUAUUUUCCAUUAGUUCAUUUAUACAAUUGUAAAUUAUUUAUUAUAAUUAAAUACAAAAAAUUACUGUACAGAAUUUAGAGAUAUGUAAUAAGAACACUA